AACGCACCUUGCGCCCCUUGGUAUUCCGAGGGGCACACCCGUUUGAGUGUCGUGAAAACCUCAACCUCCUUGGUUUCUUCUGGAGACCAAAGAAGGCUUGGACUUUGGAGGCCUUUGCUGGCACCUCUCUUUUGAAGGCCAGCUCCUCUUAAACAAAUUAGCAGGGUCCUCUUUGCUGAUCCUUGACAUGUGAUAAGAUGUUUCCAUGUCUUGGUUUCUGGCUCUGUCACCUUUGGGACCCGCUUCUAACCGUCUUGACCUUGCGUCGAGACAACGUUCGAACAUGUCUCCCUUUCUCGGGAAGCUCCCUCGACCCCACGAACCCCUUGACCUCAAAUCGGGUGAGACUACCCGCUGAACUUAA
This 364-nucleotide unclassified non-coding RNA is filed under the name uncultured Lactarius. RNAcentral's name for it is "sequence contains ITS2". The record is from RNAcentral. Lineage: Eukaryota; Fungi; Basidiomycota; Agaricomycetes; Russulales; Russulaceae.